RNAcentral lists this long non-coding RNA (385 nucleotides) under Equus asinus (donkey). RNAcentral describes it as "lncRNA (ENSEASG00005032863.1)". The record is from RNAcentral. Lineage: Eukaryota; Metazoa; Chordata; Mammalia; Perissodactyla; Equidae.
AAAGAAGGGAAGUCAACAGUUCAAAUAGUAGUUUCUUGAAAAUGCCCCGAGGGCCUGUAUAAUGAGACCUUGACUCUCCUGGACUGCAUCGAAUUGUAAUGCACUUUAUUGUUCGGUGACUAUUUGGAUUUUAAUGCCAUCAUGCCCUGGAUGGCCUCGCCUGACAAUCUGGAAGCCUGAGGGAAAAGAUGACAUUUUCACCAGUAUUAUUAGGAAGGAUGGGAACAGGGCUCGCAUCUUUAAUUCACUGAGAUCUGUGUGUGGCUGAGAACACUGACGUGCCUGCGGGCAUAUGGCUUACAAUGUGGAGAUGGAUCUUAUUGCUGCUGGAAGCAUCCCUGAAGCCUAGAGAUAUCCCUCGCUCUCCUUUGGAUGUAGAGACAAG